This 421-nucleotide ribosomal RNA is filed under the name uncultured bacterium. RNAcentral describes it as "bacterial SSU rRNA". It matches the Rfam family "Bacterial small subunit ribosomal RNA", at positions 355 to 774 of the family's 1533-position model. The record is from RNAcentral.
UAAGGAAUAUUGGUCAAUGGACGCAAGUCUGAACCAGCCAUGCCGCGUGAAGGAUGAAGGUCCUCUGGAUUGUAAACUUCUUUUAUCUGGGACGAAAACGGGAUUUUUAUCUCAAUUGACGGUACCAGAGGAAUAAGCACCGGCUAACUCCGUGCCAGCAGCCGCGGUAAUACGGAGGGUGCGAGCGUUAUCCGGAUUUACUGGGUUUAAAGGGUGCGUAGGUGGGCUUAUAAGUCAGUGGUGAAAUCUCCGAGCUUAACUUGGAAACUGCCGUUGAUACUAUAGGUCUUGAAUUAUCUGGAGGUAAGCGGAAUAUGUCAUGUAGCGGUGAAAUGCCUAGAUAUGACAUAGAACACCAAUUGCGAAGGCAGCUUACUACAUAUAAAUUGACGCUGAGGCACGAAAGCGUGGGGAUCAAACA